AAGUGUUCCCAUGUUCCGUGGACGCCCAAACAAGACAGAUCUGGGGAGUUUACUCUAUUAUUUUACCGUAAAUCUUUGAAACUCUGGAACUAAUUAUGCAGAGGAUAUGUCUCAAUUUGUUCUGCAUUAAUGCCACAUUGGGGCUGGAGUCAGGGCCACAGCCAGAGCAGAUACUCGAGCACAUGAAAUUGAUGAACUGAGACUUGCGGCUAGUCCCGAACACGCCAUCUGGAAUUCCAGUCUGAGGUUACAAUUAGAACUUCUGACCCCAGAUUCAACUUUGUGGAGAAG
This is a long non-coding RNA of Pelodiscus sinensis (Chinese soft-shelled turtle), 291 nucleotides long. It matches the Rfam family "WT1 antisense RNA conserved region 7". Lineage: Eukaryota; Metazoa; Chordata; Testudines; Trionychidae. The record is from Rfam.